Xyrauchen texanus (razorback sucker) is the source of this 1371-nucleotide long non-coding RNA. RefSeq lists it as uncharacterized. Lineage: Eukaryota; Metazoa; Chordata; Actinopteri; Cypriniformes; Catostomidae. The transcript has 6 exons. The record is from RefSeq and is a predicted model, not a curated record.
CUGAUGAGCAUAUGCACUGUUGCUUUUCUCUGUGAAUCUCUGUGUGUAUUUGGAAGAGAGAGAAAAGCUGAUGCCCUGUUGAUCCACUGAUGAUCUUUCAUUGUUACAGGUGCCGUGAGCAGCGUGAAUCAGCACUGCCAUGACUACGCUGACUGCUCUGCUGAGCAGCACCUGUGAGAAACAGAGAGAGGAAAACACAAGCACGUGGCACAACCUGACAGAUGGGCAGAGGAGACUGUCACAAUCCUGCCGCAAACAAAAAUAAAACGAGACCAAAGUAGCAGGAUCAUGACAUAAACACUUGAUAAAGGGUGUCAGGACAAACCAGGAGAGGCUCAACAAAGGCAAGCGGAGCAGGAGAGGCUUGAGGGGUGGAGCCAUGGAAGGCAGAGCUGUGGGAGGCUCGAGGGGCGGAACCAAGGAAGGCAGAGCCGUGAGAGGCUCGACCAGAGCUGGCAGAGACUGGGGAACGACCUCCGUGUUCGUGAGCAUGAGCAGAGACUGGGUAGAAGGUGUCCUUUUCCUUCUCCGUGUCUGGAUAGCUGGGAGCAUAGUUACGGGAGCGGGCGAGGCUACAGGCAUGAGUGCUGGCUCGUUGGCCGUGGCAGGCGUGAGUGCUGGCUUAUUGGCCAUGGCAGGCAUGGAUCAAGGAGCCGUGGCAGGCGUGGAGCAAGGAGCCGUGGCAGGAUCUGGACAGCCGCUAGGUCCAUGCUGGGGGUCGCCGCAGCAGACCAUCCGUGAGCAGGAUAUUUGACUUGGCACAGGUUUUGUGCCAGAUGCCCUUACUGCCACAACAAUUCAGGUGCAGGUGUGUUUCCUCAAUGCCUCCUCCUCGUCACACCGGAGCACCCAGAGGAAACCCACAUGAACACAAGGAGAACUUUGAGCCCAGUUGAGCCGGGACUUGAACCUGGGACCUUCUUGCUGAAAAGUUUUUGGUUGUAAAUGCAAUGACAGUUGCAGCUUCCCGGUCACAAGGAAGGCGGGGAAAGCCUACCAGCAGAAAGGGGGACGCACGUCAUGCCGGGGGCAAAGGAGGAAGGAGUGUGAUGAGGAGGAUGGCGGGGCCGGGUCGUGACUACGCAUGCCCAGCCCUCAACUGGGCUAAUCAGCCGAGGAGAGGGAUAAGGGCAGCCGGGUGCAUCCACGCACAACUCACUACGUCCCUCACCGAGAGUGAGAACCACAUUAUAGCGAUCAUGAGGAGGUUACCCCAUAAGACUCUACCCUCCCUAGCAACCAGUCCAAUUUGAUUGCUUAGGAGACCUGGCUGUAGUCACUCAACCUGCCCUGGCAAACUCAUGACUCCAGGGGUGGUAGUCAGCGUUAAUAAAUCACUGAGCUACCCAGGCCCCACCCGUCAAAUCUUAA